CCCCUAGAUGUUCUGGGCCGCACGCGCGCUACACUGAACAGUUCAACAAGUCUUAACCUUGGCCGAUAGGUCUGGGUAAUCUUUGAACGCUGUUCGUGAUUGGGAUAGACCUUUGCAAUUAUGGGUCUUCAACGAGGAAUUCCUAGUAAACGCAAGUCAUCAGCAUGCAUUGAUUACGUCCCUGCCCUUUGUACACACCGCCCGUCGCACCUACCGAUUGAAUGGUCCGGUGAAAUCUCGGGACGGCGGCUUGGUCGCUUGCGUCCGACUGCUGAAACUUGAUUAAACCAUAUCAUUUAGAGGAAGGUGAANUCGUAACA
Molecule: ribosomal RNA, 320 nt
Filed under: uncultured eukaryote
Lineage: Eukaryota
Description: partial 18S ribosomal RNA
Rfam family: Eukaryotic small subunit ribosomal RNA
Source: RNAcentral